GCGCCGGUAGCUCAGCGGUAGAGCAGCGGGCUCAUAACCUGUCAGACCCUGGUUCGAAUCCAGGCCGGCGCA
Molecule: transfer RNA, 72 nt
Filed under: Solirubrobacterales bacterium
Lineage: Bacteria; Bacillati; Actinomycetota; Thermoleophilia; Solirubrobacterales
Also listed under: 2 other names
Description: tRNA-Ile
Rfam family: tRNA
About the family: Transfer RNA (tRNA) molecules are approximately 80 nucleotides in length.
Source: RNAcentral